GUGGACAAAAAAUCCAGGCCAGAAGGCACGUACCCCCGUCACAAGCAUGACCCCCCUCCUCCUCGCUGGCAGGCUCAGCAACGGCUCCGUCGCUAUCUGGAACCCGCCGCCGCCAUCGCCGCCGUGGCUGCCGCGGCCACCAUCACGUCCGAGAGGAGCGGCACGCCAGCUCGCAGCAGGUCUUCCUCGUCUCCAUCUCCAAGCCACGCGAGCGCCGGCAGUGGCACAGAGCUGGCAGAGAAGGUGCCGGUGGUGGGAUCUGCCGCGCGGGAGACGGCGGCGCGAUGCGGCCUUGCCAUACUCUUCGGCAUCAGUGAAAUCUGUUCUGCAAUCUAGGAGCAAGGCCAACUUCAGGAGCUGGUUGAAGUUGCACUAAGUUUAGCCACAAAGUAACAUCAGAACAAUCCACAAAGUAAUAUCAGAACAAUUGUCGUGGGCAACCUCUUACCGGAAGAAAAUUACAGUUUGGAUGAGGAUUUGUAGUCCAUAGGAUGAUCAGAUCCUGAUGGAUUGAGAAGACCAGGUUAUACCAUCCAUGACUACAUUCGGUUUGGAUCCCAAGAGGAGCACAGUUUCAGAGGAGUGUUUCUUUAUUGGAAGAGGACAAUUUUGGAGGAGCUGGUCAUGACUUAGAAACAAAACUCCCCUGAGAAGGCAUCGCUAGUAGGAUCUAUGGACAAGCCACUACCAAGCGAGCAUUGUUUGGUGAGGCGCGUAACAACAACCAGGCCAACGACCAGUAGAACUGCGGAUCAAUAGCUGCAGUGACAUAAGACUUUAGAAGUCACUGAAGAAUCUUGCUUCCCCUUUUUGUUAUGAUGGAGUUACUCUAAUAUAAUUCUGUUGAAUCCAUCACUUAUGUCAACUUUCCCCAUACUAUGUUUCUUUGUACUGAUGUGUUUGUUGCUGCAGCAAACUUGUUACAAUAUCCAGUUCCAUUUAAGUUUAUUCCGUUUGGGAAUGGUAGUCAGAAUCCAAGCUAUCCAGAGCUUAUCAACAAUAUUCUCAUGAAUGACUUUGAUGUCGUGGUAGGUGUGGCUCUAUUUGAUAUCACACAUGCAUGCAUAGCUUAGAAUUUUUUGAAUGAAUGACAGCCAAAAAUCCAUUAGAGCUGAAUGUAGAUUAAACCAAGAGGAAUAGCAGCGAGCUAUCUACCUGCUUACACAUAGAUUUUUGUGACUUGUUUAGUUCAUUUCUUGAAUUUGUAUGUCAAAAUUAUGCUCUUAUUGGAUGCAUUACCCUCUAAGCUUAGCUACAGGCACUUGUGUCUCUUGAAUUUAACCACCUAAAUGACCAUAACAAUAGGAAAUUAAUAAAGGUAAUGAGCUCUUAUAUGGAUCCUAAAUGGAUAAUUCAGUCAAGUAUGAGACAAGUUUUUAGCAUGGCACGAGCAACAGGUGCAGCAUAUCACUGAAAUUUUCAGAGCAUACUAUUAGAGCACCUUUUCGUUUGCAAAAGAAAUUUUGGCAUACAAAAUUGUCAGUUUUAUGCAUGUCAAACAACAAACAUUUUUGCAAGGACAACCAAAUAGUGAAUGUAGUUUGUUUACCAGAUUGCGUGCACUUCUAUUUGCAAGAUGAUUGAAGAUGCAGAGAAGGGUUUGAUCUCCACUACUAGGAAAAGGGCUAUAGAUAAUAUGGACACUAAUGGCGCACCACACAUGUGGGUGCGCCACUACUAUAUACUAAUGGCGCACCAUGUG
Molecule: non-coding RNA, 1702 nt
Organism: Aegilops tauschii subsp. strangulata
Lineage: Eukaryota; Viridiplantae; Streptophyta; Magnoliopsida; Poales; Poaceae
Source: RefSeq, a predicted model, not a curated record